CUGCAGCUCGAGUGGUGGCCGCUAUUAUUGGGCCUAAAACGUCCGUAGCCGGUCUUGUAAAUGCCUGGGUAAAUCGUGCCGCUUAACGGUACGACUUCCGGGUAGACUGUAAGACUUGAGACCGGGAGAGGCUAGAGGUACUCCAGGGGUAGAGGUGAAAUUCUGUAAUCCUUGGGGGACCACCAGUGGCGAAGGCGUCUAGCUAGAACGGGUCUGACGGUGAGGGACGAAGCCCUGGGGCGCGAACCGGAUUAGAUACCCGAGUAGUCC
RNAcentral lists this ribosomal RNA (270 nucleotides) under uncultured archaeon. RNAcentral's name for it is "partial 16S ribosomal RNA". It matches the Rfam family "Archaeal small subunit ribosomal RNA", at positions 477 to 747 of the family's 1478-position model. The record is from RNAcentral.